This 240-nucleotide unclassified non-coding RNA is filed under the name soil metagenome. Its description in RNAcentral is "partial contains 5.8S ribosomal RNA, internal transcribed spacer 2, and large subunit ribosomal RNA". The record is from RNAcentral.
AACGAGGCCGACCUGCGGCUGAGUUACCUGCGGAAGGAUCAUUACAGAGUUGCAAAACUCCCUAAACCAUUGUGAACGUUACCUAAACCGUUGCUUCGGCGGGCGGCCCGGGUCCUUCCCGGCGCCCAUCGGCCCUCGCGGGCGCCCGCCGGAGGUAAACCAAACUAUUGCAUUGUAUGGCCUCUCUGAGUCUUCUGUACUGAAUAAGUCAAAACUUUCAACAAUGGAUCUCAGAUCGGA